RNAcentral lists this small RNA (77 nucleotides) under Nitrobacter sp. Nb-311A. Its description in RNAcentral is "Makes More Granules Regulator RNA (mmgR)". It matches the Rfam family "Makes More Granules Regulator RNA (mmgR)". Rfam says of the family: SuhB later renamed mmgR (makes more granules regulator) was a putative non-coding RNA found multiple times in the Agrobacterium tumefaciens genome and related alpha-proteobacteria. Other non-coding RNAs uncovered in the same analysis include: speF, ybhL, metA, and serC. Several studies inSinorhizobium meliloti showed that suhB element is indeed a non-coding RNA:firstly it was detected on Northern blot and called Sm8RNA, secondly in an RNAseq study referred to as SmelC689. The record is from Rfam by way of RNAcentral. Lineage: Bacteria; Pseudomonadati; Pseudomonadota; Alphaproteobacteria; Hyphomicrobiales; Nitrobacteraceae.
AUCGCUUGCCCUCCUUGGGCGUUUCCUCCCUAUAACUUGGGUCGCUUGUUCGACGAGCGGCCCUUUUUCUUUGCAAC